RNAcentral lists this ribosomal RNA (798 nucleotides) under uncultured Porphyromonadaceae bacterium. RNAcentral's name for it is "bacterial SSU rRNA". It matches the Rfam family "Bacterial small subunit ribosomal RNA", at positions 8 to 794 of the family's 1533-position model. The record is from RNAcentral. Lineage: Bacteria; Pseudomonadati; Bacteroidota; Bacteroidia; Bacteroidales; Porphyromonadaceae.
AGAGUUUGAUUAUGGCUCAGGAUGAACGCUAGCGAUAGGCCUAACACAUGCAAGUCGAGGGGCAGCACAUGAAGUAGCAAUACGGAUGGUGGCGACCGGCGCACGGGUGAGUAACGCGUAUGCAACCUGCCUACAACAGGGGAAUAACCCGUUGAAAGACGGACUAAUACCCCAUAACACAGGGGAUCCCGCAUGGGAAUAUUUGUUAAAGAUUUAUCGGUUGUAGAUGGGCAUGCGUUCCAUUAGCUUGUUGGUGAGGUAACGGCUCACCAAGGCAACGAUGGAUAGGGGAACUGAGAGGUUUAUCCCCCACACUGGUACUGAGACACGGACCAGACUCCUACGGGAGGCAGCAGUGAGGAAUAUUGGUCAAUGGACGCAAGUCUGAACCAGCCACGUCGCGUGAAGGAAGACGGCCCUACGGGUUGUAAACUUCUUUUGUAAGGGAAUAAAGUGCAGUACGUGUACUGUUUUGCAUGUACCUUACGAAUAAGGAUUGGCUAACUCCGUGCCAGCAGCCGCGGUAAUACGGAGGAUCCGAGCGUUAUCCGGAUUUAUCGGGUUUAAAGGGUGCGCAGGCGGGAGAUUAAGUCGGCGGUGAAAUUUUGCAGCUCAACUGUAAAAGUGCCUUCGAAACUGGUUUUCUUGAGUGUGGAUGAAGUAGGCGGAAUUUGUGGUGUAGCGGUGAAAUGCAUAGAUAUCACGAGGAACUCCGAUUGCGCAGGCAGCUUACUAAACCAUAACUGACGCUCAGGCACGAAGGCGUGGGGAUCAAACAGGAUUAGAUACCCUGGUAGU